UACGGAGGAUGCGAGCGUUAUCCGGAUUUAUUGGGUUUAAAGGGUGCGUAGGCGGGCUUUUAAGUCAGCGGUAAACAUUCGGGGCUCAACCCCGUCCGGCCGUUGAAACUGGGGGUCUUGAGUGGGCGAGAAGAAGGCGGAAUGCGUGGUGUAGCGGUGAAAUGCAUAGAUAUCACGCAGAACCCCGAUUGCGAAGGCAGCCUUCCGGCGCCCUACUGACGCUGAGGCACGAAAGUGCGGGGAUCGAACAGG
RNAcentral lists this ribosomal RNA (252 nucleotides) under uncultured bacterium. RNAcentral describes it as "partial 16S ribosomal RNA". It matches the Rfam family "Bacterial small subunit ribosomal RNA", at positions 524 to 776 of the family's 1533-position model. The record is from RNAcentral.